UAAGUACUCCGCCUGGGAAGUACGCUCGCAAGAGUGAAACUCAAAGGAAUGACGGGGACCCGCACAAGUAGCGGAGCAUGUGGUUUAAUUCGAAGCAACGCGAAGAACCUACCUAAGCUUGACAUCCCAAUGACCUCUCCCUAAUCGGAGAUUUCCCUUCGGGGACAUUGUGACAGGUGGUGCAUGGUUGUCGUCAGCUCGUGUCGUGAGAUGUUGGGUUAAGUCCCGCACGAGCGCAACCCUUGCCUUUAGUUGCCAGCAUUAAGUUGGGCACUCUAGAGGGACUGCCAGGAUAACCUGGAGGAAGGUGGGGAUGACGUCAAAUCAUCAUGCCCCUUAUGCUUAGGGCUCACACGUGCUACAAUGGGUGGUACAGAGGGCAGCCAAGUCGUGAGGCGGAGCUAAUCCCUAAAGCCAUUCUCAGUUCGGAUUGUAGGCUGAAACUCGCCUACAUGAAGCUGGAGUUACUAUAAUCGCAGAUCAGAAUGCUGCGGUGAAUGCGUUCCCGGGUCUUGUACACACCGCCCGUU
Molecule: ribosomal RNA, 530 nt
Filed under: uncultured Clostridium sp.
Lineage: Bacteria; Bacillati; Bacillota; Clostridia; Eubacteriales; Clostridiaceae
Description: bacterial SSU rRNA
Rfam family: Bacterial small subunit ribosomal RNA
Source: RNAcentral